AUUUGACAGCUGAGGAAGUGGAGGAACUAGAGGGCAGUAAUUAGCCCAGGGACACAUCUAAGUUGCACAGGCAGUAUUUGAACACAGCAUCCAGCCAUGGUGACGAUGUUUUUAACAACUCCAUUAUAUUCCAUUUCAUGGUCAAAUACCUUCAUUGAAUAAUUUAAAAUUUCAUUUAAUUAAGUAGGUCUGGCAUUAUUCAGAUCCAAAUUGAAACCAGUUCAGCAAGCCAUCUCAAAGUAUAGUAAUUGGGUAUUAAGAAAUUAACUAGGCAUUCUCUAAAUUUAUUUACAUAUUCAACGAGCAUUGAAAAUUAUAUAUCAGAUAUUCUGCCCAAUCAGAGGCUAACAUCUGCCACAAGACAAAUAUGGUGCCUGCCCCCAUGGAGCUCAUAUUCAAAUGGAGAAAAUGUCAACAAGUAUCCCAUGGAGUGAACACUUCAAAAGGAGAAGCACAGGUGAGAAGAUCGAAUUUGGACACCAUUGAGGAGACUAUUGCAGUCAUCCAAGCUCAAGAUGGUAGAGCUUCAUCCUUGAGAAUAAUCAAUGGGGAUAGAUUUAAGAGACACUUAGAGUCUGCAGCCAGAAUGAGCAGAAAGUUAUGAUUCAGAAGAUCAUCUAAAAUUGAACAGCUGCCACUACUGGCAGUAAGUCUACUGCCAUUUGGUAGAUAACCUUCUUAUCACACAGAAAAAUAUCAGUACAGACAAACAGACCGCAAAGAAAAUGAGACCAUCAGCAAAGAAGAUAAAGAAGUUUGUACAAAGCAACUUUUUGUAAAUGGAUGGCUGUCAGGCAAAAAUAAAUUUCCUGUGGACAAGACUAAGAGCAAGGCAAGAGGAAAAUAAACAUGUU
RNAcentral lists this small RNA (854 nucleotides) under Pongo abelii (Sumatran orangutan). RNAcentral describes it as "retained intron". Lineage: Eukaryota; Metazoa; Chordata; Mammalia; Primates; Hominidae. The record is from RNAcentral.